Molecule: ribosomal RNA, 762 nt
Filed under: Aspergillus collinsii
Lineage: Eukaryota; Fungi; Ascomycota; Eurotiomycetes; Eurotiales; Aspergillaceae
Description: LSU rRNA
Rfam family: Eukaryotic large subunit ribosomal RNA
Source: RNAcentral
GCUCAAAUUUGAAAUCUGGCCCCUCCGGGGUCCGAGUUGUAAUUUGCAGAGGAUGCUUCGGGUGCGGCCCCUGUCUAAGUGCCCUGGAACGGGCCGUCAGAGAGGGUGAGAGCCCCGUCUUGGGCAGGGUGCCCGCGCCCGUGUGAAGCUCCUUCGACGAGUCGAGUUGUUUGGGAAUGCAGCUCUAAAUGGGUGGUAAAUUUCAUCUAAAGCUAAAUACCGGCCGGAGACCGAUAGCGCACAAGUAGAGUGAUCGAAAGAUGAAAAGCACUUUGAAAAGAGAGUUAAACAGCACGUGAAAUUGUUGAAAGGGAAGCGCUUGCGACCAGACUCGCCCCCGGGGUUCAGCCGGCAUUCGUGCCGGUGUACUUCCCCGGGGGCGGGCCAGCGUCGGUUUGGGCGGCCGGUCAAAGGCCCCGGGAAUGUGUCGCCCUCCGGGGCGUCUUAUAGCCCGGGGUGCAAUGCGGCCAGCCCGGACCGAGGAACGCGCUUCGGCACGGACGCUGGCGUAAUGGUCACAAACGACCCGUCUUGAAACACGGACCAAGGAGUCUAACAUCUACGCGAGUGUUCGGGUGUCAAACCCGUACGCGCAGUGAAAGCGAACGGAGGUGGGAGCCCCCCCGGGGGCGCACCAUCGACCGAUCCUGAUGUCUUCGGAUGGAUUUGAGUACGAGCGUAGCUGUGGGGACCCGAAAGAUGGUGAACUAUGCCUGAAUAGGGCGAAGCCAGAGGAAACUCUGGUGGAGGCUCGCAGCGGUU